Long non-coding RNA from Felis catus (domestic cat), 2035 nucleotides. RefSeq lists it as uncharacterized. The record is from RefSeq and is a predicted model, not a curated record. The transcript has 2 exons. Lineage: Eukaryota; Metazoa; Chordata; Mammalia; Carnivora; Felidae.
GGUGGUGGAAAAGCUGUUUUCCAAAUUCUUAUUCAUUUUCUAACAUAUUUACUGAUUUCUCAGCAAGUGAUAUCAGAAAUUUUUCUAAGAUUGUGUUUCUCGAACUGUUCCACACAGACAUGCACACAGGUAGGCCUGUUCGGGGCACCCUUGGUGCUACUCAUCAUGAUAGAUGAGGGCACUCUACCAUCCCGGACAGCAUUCUCCUUGGCAGUAAGAGGAGUCUCUAACUCCACAGAGAGUCAUAUCCUGUGAACACGCACACUGUAAGGCCGUGGUUAUGUGGGACAGUCAGCCCUGCCAGCCGCAGUGAGCGUGGGUAUCGACCAGCCACGGGGAAGAUCGGUGAGAUGCAAGGCGGAGAGAGCAGGCUUCGGGAUGGUGAUGAAUCUGAAUUUUCUCUCAUAUGAAAUACAACCUAAGCCUUGGAUCAUUUGAUGAAGCAAAAGCAAACAUCAUAUAACACAUCAACAAGACAGGGAAUGACCAAAUUACAAAGCUGAUGUUUAAAUAAGGCUGCAAAUUUUACUUUUUUCCUCUGGUUUAUAAAAAUGUUUAAAUAAAAGUCUCAAGGCCAAGGUACAAAAAUCACAGCCUACUGUCUUAAAAUGCACAGACUAUGCAUUCUAGUUAGAGAAAGUUUAGUGGAUGGGAGAGAAUCUAGAUUGAAAAUGGCCAGACAGGAGACAGAACAUGGCUCUCUAACAUGUAUGAUCCUACUUCUGAAAGACUACAGUCACCACCUCUUGCCUCCUUAAAUUCCAUUCUGAAAAAAUGACUCAUUUCAACCAUGGUAUCAUCAUUAAUUAUCUAUCUUUUCACCCCCCAAAACAGCAUCUCACAGAAAACCUGCCAAGUUAAAGAGAGACUGCAAAAGAUACUUUCUUCAUCCUCAAAGGAGAAGAUAAAAAUGUAACUAAAAGUAUUAUUUAUCCUUAAUCAAACUACAUACAAACAGGAUGCCUGGAAAAAAACAUCAUAUAGUACACUGCCCCUUUGCCACAGACAUCAGGAGAUCUGGGAGCUGAGGAAGAGGAGCAACAUUACGUAAAAAGGUCAACAGUAUCAUCGUAUUUACCAUGGAUCCAGUCUGUGCUCAGUACAGACGGACCCAACUGCAACUCCACAAGUAAGUGGACUGUUUCCCUCCUGACCUAGGGAACUGUCCCCCGGUACACUGUCAUUGCAGAAACAGAGAAAACACAUCUGUUAAAUAUGAGCUUUAGUGGAAAAAAUUCAGCUGGCAUUCUCUUUUCCUCUCUGUCGUCUUGUUUUAAUAGCACUCUUAUGUAAGUUCUUUACUAUAUAUAGUUGAGAGUGGGGAGCUGUGAUUUGACCUGUUCAGAGGCCGUCAGACUUGGGCCAUUUCCUUCCACCUCGUGCCCAAAGGCAGCUGUUCUUGAGGUCCAGCGGGAGCGGCCAGGAUGCAGAAACCCAUGUUGCUUUAGACCCUGACACUGUCGUGUUGCGGCCUCUUCUUGGAGCUUCGGCCGCCCCACCUAUACAACUGGCACCAUGCCCAUUUCUGACCUAACUCGCUGGGGUUGCCUGUGGAACCUCAAGAGAACAUCUGGGAAACAUUUUUUUGGCAUAGUCAAAAUGUGUAUUUUUUCCCCUGUAUGUCCAUCCAAGAUUUAUGCAAGAGCUAGAAUUCUAACUUUUCAGUCUAAGGGUCCUGGACCAUCCUACCAUCCUACCAACCUGCCCAAGCAAGAUAACAGUUGGUUUAUUUAUGGUCUGUUUCCUCUACUGGGCUGCAAUCUCCCUGAGGGCAGGGUCCCCAUCUAUUAUAUUCCCCAGUGUAUUUUCUAAAGCUUGGCACACAGUCCAUGAAUGAAUCCAAGAAUCAAUGAACAGGAAGAGGAGGUGAUCUCUAACAUUUACUGAAUACUUCAUAAACGCCAGGCACUGUCCUGUUUUAUAUGUAUGCUUCCCCUCUCUCUCUCAUAUGCAUGUGUUUUCUCUCUAGUUCCCACUAGCUGUAUGAUCUCAGACAACUUAAGCUUUCUGUACCUCAGUUUUCUCAUCCACGGGA